This 252-nucleotide ribosomal RNA is filed under the name uncultured Bacteroidales bacterium. Its description in RNAcentral is "partial 16S ribosomal RNA". It matches the Rfam family "Bacterial small subunit ribosomal RNA", at positions 524 to 776 of the family's 1533-position model. The record is from RNAcentral. Lineage: Bacteria; Pseudomonadati; Bacteroidota; Bacteroidia; Bacteroidales.
UACGGAGGAUUCAAGCGUUAUCCGGAUUUAUUGGGUUUAAAGGGUGCGUAGGCGGGUUAUCAAGUCAGCGGUAAAAUCGUGGAGCUCAACUCCAUCCAGCCGUUGAAACUGAUGAUCUUGAGUGGGCGAGAAGUAUGCGGAAUGCGUGGUGUAGCGGUGAAAUGCAUAGAUAUCACGCAGAACUCCGAUCGCGAAGGCAGCCUACCGGCGCGCUACUGACGCUCAUGCACGAAAGCGUGGGUAUCGAACAGG